ACGGAAGGCAGCAGUCGGGAAUAUUGCGCAAUGGAGGGAACUCUGACGCAGUGACGCCGCGUAUAGGAAGAAGGUUUUCGGAUUGUAAACUAUUGUUGUUCGUGAAGAAAAAAAUGACAGUACCUAAGGAGGAAGCAUCGGCUAACUAUGUGCCAGUAGCCGCGGUAAUACAUAGGGUGCGAGCGUUAUCCGGAUUUAUUGGGUGUAAAGGGUGCGUAGACGGGAGUUUAAGUUAGUUGUGAAAUCCCUUGGCUUAACGGAGGAACUGCAACUAAAACUAAAUUUCUUGAGUGUCGGAGAGGAAAGUGGAAUUCCUAGUGUAGCGGUGAAAUGCGUAGAUAUUAGGAAGAACGCCGGUGGCGAAGGCGACUUUCUGGACGAUAACUGACGUUGAUGCACGAAAGUGUGGGGAGCAAACAGGAUUAGAUACCCUGGUA
This 437-nucleotide ribosomal RNA is filed under the name uncultured Oscillospiraceae bacterium. RNAcentral describes it as "partial 16S ribosomal RNA". It matches the Rfam family "Bacterial small subunit ribosomal RNA", at positions 341 to 792 of the family's 1533-position model. The record is from RNAcentral. Lineage: Bacteria; Bacillati; Bacillota; Clostridia; Eubacteriales; Oscillospiraceae.